RNAcentral lists this ribosomal RNA (725 nucleotides) under uncultured Bacilli bacterium. Its description in RNAcentral is "bacterial SSU rRNA". It matches the Rfam family "Bacterial small subunit ribosomal RNA", at positions 45 to 741 of the family's 1533-position model. Lineage: Bacteria; Bacillati; Bacillota; Bacilli. The record is from RNAcentral.
UGCCUAAUACAUGCAAGUCGAACGCUUCUUUCCUCCCGAGUGCUUGCACUCAAUUGGAAAGAGGAGUGGCGGACGGGUGAGUAACACGUGGGUAACCUACCCAUCAGAGGGGGAUAACACUUGGAAACAGGUGCUAAUACCGCAUAACAGUUUAUGCCGCAUGGCAUAAGAGUGAAAGGUGCUUUCGGGUGUCGCUGAUGGAUGGACCCGCGGUGCAUUAGCUAGUUGGUGAGGUAACGGCUCACCAAGGCCACGAUGCAUAGCCGACCUGAGAGGGUGAUCGGCCACACUGGGACUGAGACACGGCCCAGACUCCUACGGGAGGCAGCAGUAGGGAAUCUUCGGCAAUGGACGAAAGUCUGACCGAGCAACGCCGCGUGAGUGAAGAAGGUUUUCGGAUCGUAAAACUCUGUUGUUAGAGAAGAACAAGGACGUUAGUAACUGAACGUCCCCUGACGGUAUCUAACCAGAAAGCCACGGCUAACUACGUGCCAGCAGCCGCGGUAAUACGUAGGUGGCAAGCGUUGUCCGGAUUUAUUGGGCGUAAAGCGAGCGCAGGCGGUUUCUUAAGUCUGAUGUGAAAGCCCCCGGCUCAACCGGGGAGGGUCAUUGGAAACUGGGAGACUUGAGUGCAGAAGAGGAGAGUGGAAUUCCAUGUGUAGCGGUGAAAUGCGUAGAUAUAUGGAGGAACACCAGUGGCGAAGGCGGCUCUCUGGUCUGUAACU